This 31-nucleotide non-coding RNA is filed under the name Mus musculus (house mouse). The record is from RNAcentral. Lineage: Eukaryota; Metazoa; Chordata; Mammalia; Rodentia; Muridae.
UCAAAGGCCUGUCCGCCAUUGCUGACUUAGC